Molecule: ribosomal RNA, 458 nt
Filed under: uncultured bacterium
Lineage: Bacteria
Description: bacterial SSU rRNA
Rfam family: Bacterial small subunit ribosomal RNA
Source: RNAcentral
AGGCAGCAGUUAGGAAUCUUCCACAAUGGACGCAAGUCUGAUGGAGCAACGCCGCGUGAGUGAAGAAGGGUUUCGGCUCGUAAAGCUCUGUUGUUGGUGAAGAAGGACAGGGGUAGUAACUGACCUUUGUUUGACGGUAAUCAAUUAGAAAGUCACGGCUAACUACGUGCCAGCAGCCGCGGUAAUACGUAGGUGGCAAGCGUUGUCCGGAUUUAUUGGGCGUAAAGCGAGUGCAGGCGGCUCGAUAAGUCUGAUGUGAAAGCCUUCGGCUCAACCGGAGAAUUGCAUCAGAAACUGUCGAGCUUGAGUACAGAAGAGGAGAGUGGAACUCCAUGUGUAGCGGUGAAAUGCGUAGAUAUAUGGAAGAACACCGGUGGCGAAGGCGGCUCUCUGGUCUGUUACUGACGCUGAGGCUCGAAAGCAUGGGUAGCGAACAGGAUUAGAUACCCUAGUAGUCC